RNAcentral lists this ribosomal RNA (1387 nucleotides) under Solanum arcanum. Its description in RNAcentral is "bacterial SSU rRNA". It matches the Rfam family "Bacterial small subunit ribosomal RNA". Lineage: Eukaryota; Viridiplantae; Streptophyta; Magnoliopsida; Solanales; Solanaceae. The record is from RNAcentral.
GUUAUAGUAGCUUAUUCCAUUUGGAAGGUUUUUGGUUUAAGAUAGCUUUUCUUUCCCCUACUUUUAAGUCUAUCAGCUGCAACAAGGGCUUCGGGAACGAAUUCAUAACGCGUGGGAAUCUGCCGAAAAGUUUGGGUCAAAUCCUGAAGUAAGCUAAAAAGCAUUGUUUAAUUAGCCUGCAUAGUAUUAGGUAGUUGAUCAGUUAAAGGCUGACCAAGCCAAUGAUGCUUAGCUGGUUUGCCACAAUGGAACUGAGACACGGCCCGGACUCCCACGGGGCGCAACAGUGGGGAAUCUUAAACAACGGGAGAAAGCCCGAUCCAGCAAUAUCGCGUGAGUGAAGAAGGGCAAUGCCGCUUGUAAAGCUCUUUCGCCAAGUGAGCAAUCAUGAAAGGACUCAAGGAAGAAGCCCCAGCUAACUCCGUGCCAGCAGCUGCGGUAAGACGAGGGGGCAAGUGUUCUUUCGAAUGACUGGGCGUAAAGGGCACGUAAGCAGUGAAUCGGUGUUGCAUGGCUAUCGUCAUCUCGUGUCGUGAGAUGUUUGGUAAAAUCCUAUAACGAGUUAAACCCUCGUUUUGUGUUACUGAGACAUGUGCCUAAGGAGAAAGUCUUUUCAACCUGAAGUGAGCCGAGGAUCCGAGUGAUGUGUCAGCGCUACUAAUUGAGUGCCAUUACCUAGUUGUGCUGUCAGUAUGAAAGCUGGUGCCUUUCGAAGCACUUUCUAUAUGUAGUUAGCAUUGUUUUAUUAUUGCUGCUAGUGCGCUUGACUAAUAAGAUAGAAAGGGCCUUUCUCGCAUGUUAAGUAAAGUUAUGUUUUUGACCUUAUCUUGCAGGUGAAGACGACGUCGAGUAGACGGCAGAGAAAGACUCGGCAUUCAGGCGAGCCACCCGGUGGUGUGGUACAUAGUGGGUUUAGUACACCCCGCCCAAACAAAAUGCUUCGAAACAAACAAAUAGGUGUGUGCUGGAAUCACGAAGGACUUCCAGUAAUAUACUAGAGGAAAGUGGGGACGAUUUCAAGUCCUCAUGGCCCUUAUAUGCUGGGCCACACACGUGCUACAUUGACAAUUACAAUGGGAAGCAAGGUUGUAAGGCGGAGCAUAUCCGGAAAGAUUGCCUCAGUUUGGAUUGUUCUCUGCAACUCGGGAACAUAAAGUUUGAAUCACUAGUAAUUGCGGAUCAGCAUACCGCGGUGAAUAUGUGCUCGGGCCCUAAACACAUAGCCCGUCACACCUUGGGAAUUGGUUCGCCCGAAGCAUCGGACAAAUGAUCACCCAUGACUUCUGUGGAAACAAAGUCCUUUGGUGGUGUUAUUGGCGCACACCAUGGUGGGGUCUUCGACUGUGGUGAAGUCUUAAUAAGUUAGCCGUAGGCGAACCUGUGGCCG